UCCACUGUCUCCACCCACUCUUCUCCCACAGUUAUUUUCUGGGACACUGCACUAUACAACUUUAUUUGAUGGCAGAACAUUCAGAGGCUGUAAGCUUGACACAUGGCAAAUGGCUUCUGCUGUUUCUGUGUCUCGGUUUGCUCACUUCUAAUGUCCAGUCAAGAAUACCAGGGGUCAACAUAACGUGUGAAAAUCAAUUGGUUAAAGCAGGAAAGAACCAUAACCUGACAUGUAGAGUGGAUUACAGUGCUGAAAAUAACAAUAACUGUACAACUGAACGGUAUUUCUGGAAUCAUAAAUCAAAAACAUAAAAUGUACAAUAGACUGUAACCUGAAGAUUACCAAAACCUACUUUUUUGAGAUAGAAAAUGUUACCAAAGCUGUUGAGGGAAACUACACUUUUUCCAUUAACACAAACUGUGGCGCAGGAAAUGGCAAAUUUUAUGUUUCCGUUACUUUGAGAAAUGAAAAACAAGAAUUUCUGGGAUCGUCAGGUCAUCUAUCGUCAUUAUCAUCACUGUUCUGGGUGUUCUACUGUUUCUCAUCUUAAGACUUAAUAGUUCCUUCAGAAACAAUGACAACACUGACUGUACUCCUGAAGCUACCAGAGAGGCCCUAAACCAGAAGCCUGCAUAACUUUCAGUCUGGAGGAGCUGUGUGUGUGUGUGUGGGUGUGGGUGUUGGUGCUACUAUCCUUGUGGGGACAGAAAUAUCUCAUUUACAUAAGUAGUCAAACUCCUAAGUCAAUACUUUGUAGAAGCACCUUUGGCAGUGAU
Salmo salar (Atlantic salmon) is the source of this 776-nucleotide non-coding RNA. The record is from RefSeq and is a predicted model, not a curated record. Lineage: Eukaryota; Metazoa; Chordata; Actinopteri; Salmoniformes; Salmonidae.